This 492-nucleotide ribosomal RNA is filed under the name uncultured bacterium. RNAcentral describes it as "partial 16S ribosomal RNA". It matches the Rfam family "Bacterial small subunit ribosomal RNA", at positions 29 to 507 of the family's 1533-position model. The record is from RNAcentral.
AGUGAACGCUGGCGGUAGGCCUAACACAUGCAAGUCGAACGGCAGCACAGUAAGAGCUUGCUCUUACGGGUGGCGAGUGGCGGACGGGUGAGGAAUACAUCGGAAUCUACUUUUUCGUGGGGGAUAACGUAGGGAAACUUACGCUAAUACCGCAUACGACCUACGGGUGAAAGCAUGGGAUCUUCGGACCUUGCGCGAUUGAAUGAGCCGAUGUCGGAUUAGCUAGUUGGCGGGGUAAAGGCCCACCAAGGCGACGAUCCGUAGCUGGUCUGAGAGGAUGAUCAGCCACACUGGAACUGAGACACGGUCCAGACUCCUACGGAGGGCAGCAGGGGGGAAUAUUGGACAAUGGGCGCAAGCCUGAUCCAGCCAUACCGCGUGGGUGAAGAAGGCCUUCGGGUUGUAAAGCCCUUUUGUUGGGAAAGAAAAGCAGCAGGUUAAUACCCCGCUGUUCUGACGGUACCCAAAGAAUAAGCACCGGCUAACUUCGUG